This 1145-nucleotide ribosomal RNA is filed under the name Bacillus subtilis. Its description in RNAcentral is "bacterial SSU rRNA". It matches the Rfam family "Bacterial small subunit ribosomal RNA", at positions 40 to 1167 of the family's 1533-position model. Lineage: Bacteria; Bacillati; Bacillota; Bacilli; Caryophanales; Bacillaceae. The record is from RNAcentral.
UGGCGCGUGCUAUACAUGCAGUCGAGCGGACAGAUGGGAGCUUGCUCCCUGAUGUUAGCGGCGGACGGGUGAGUAACACGUGGGUAACCUGCCUGUAAGACUGGGAUAACUCCGGGAAACCGGGGCUAAUACCGGAUGCUUGUUUGAACCGCAUGGUUCAAACAUAAAAGGUGGCUUCGGCUACCACUUACAGAUGGACCCGCGGCGCAUUAGCUAGUUGGUGAGGUAACGGCUCACAAGGCAAGAUGCGUAGCCGACCUGAGAGGGUGAUCGGCCACACUGGGAGGGACUGAGACACGGCCCGACUCCUACGGGAGGCAGCAGUAGGGAAUCUUCCGCAAUGGACGAAAGUCUGACGGAGCAACGCCGCGUGAGUGAUGAAGGUUUUCGGAUCGUAAAGCUUGUUAGGGAAGAACAAGUACCGUUCGAAUAGGGCGGUACCUUGACGGUACCUAACCAGACCACGGCUAACUACGUGCCAGCAGCCGCGGUAAUACGCAGGUGGCAAGCGUUGUCCGGAAUUAUUGGGCGUAAAGGGCUCGCAGGCGGUUUCUUACGUCUGAUGUGAAAGCCCCCGGCUCUACCGGGGAGGGUCAUUGGAAACUGGGGAACUUGAGUGCAGAAGAGGAGAGUGGAAUUCCACGUGUAGCGGUGAGAUGCGUAGAGAUGUGGAGGAACACCAGUGGCGAAGGCGACUCUCUGGUCUGUAACUGACGCUGAGGAGCGAAAGCGUGGGGAGCGAACAGGAUUAGAUACCCUGGUAGUCCACGCCGUAAACGAUGAGUGCUAAGUGAGGGGGUUAGGGGGUUUCCGCCCCUUAGUGCUGCAGCUAACGCAUUAAGCACUCCGCCUGGGGAGUACGGUCGCAAGACUGAAACUCAAAGGAAUUGACGGGGGCCCGCACAAGCGAGCAUGUGGUUUAAUUCGAAGCAACGCGAAGAACCUUACCAGGUCUUGACAUCUCUGACAAUCCUAGAGAUAGGACGUCCCCUUCGGGGGCAGAGUGACAGGUGGUGCAUGGUUGUCGUCAGCUCCUGUCCUGAGAAGUUGGGGUUAAGUCCCGCAACGAGCGCAACCCUUGAUCUUAUUUGCCACCAUUCAGUUGGGCACCCCAAGGGGAGGGACGGCCGGGGAAAAACCCCAGA